GAUGUUGGAGUUAGAUGAAAAAUCAAUUGAAGUAACAGUGAAAGCUACUUAUCCACCACAACAAACCAAUAUUACCAUCAGUCCAAUGUCAGU
Long non-coding RNA from Xenia sp. Carnegie-2017, 93 nucleotides. RefSeq lists it as uncharacterized. NCBI's taxonomy places the organism in Eukaryota, Metazoa, Cnidaria, Anthozoa, Malacalcyonacea, Xeniidae. The transcript has 3 exons. The record is from RefSeq and is a predicted model, not a curated record.